AUUCAUCAGCCUCGCUGCAGCUACAACUCCCUUGAGAGUGGGGUCGUUUAUGUCAUCGACACGGUAGAAACCCGGCAAGUCACGACGCCGUAGGAAACCUUCCGUUCCCGGAAUUUCUUGAGCUUGAAGAAGCUGAGGAAAACGGUAAAUAGCCCAAAAGUAGGAGGGGUCGGAAGCAGAUGAGAGGAAUUCCAUUCUCUUCACAAAAGUCGGGGGCGAAACUCAGGAGACCGUCGGGGACGAAGCAGGUAACCGAGCGACGGGCGGCGGAAGCCAAGAAGUUUUCUUGGAUCAUCAUUUUCUUGAAAAGUGGGACUGUGACGUUUGCGACGGAAGGCACAAUCUCCAUGGCCCCGUGACCGCUGCGGGGGUGGUCGACGGGGAGGCCGUCGGGGAGAGUCCGAGGUAGCGGGAGAAGGCGGCGGAGGCGGUGGUGUGCUGGAGCAGGCGGCGGUGGUUGAAGUAGGAGAUGAUGAAGGUGACGUGGAAUUCGGAUAGACAGAGGAGAUGGGCUACCUUCAACAUAUGGGGUUGAGGUGGCCGUGUACCGGAAGCGGGAAAAUCAGUACAUGCGGCGGUGGUCGGAGAUUUUGUUGGUCGGAAUCGGAAGUCAUGUUUGUUGGGGUGAAUUUUCUGAUUUUUUUGGAAAUUGGUUUUAAAAUUGUUGAUUGUGGGGCACCAAUAUUGAUUGCUGGACCACUUAUAGCUGUGUAUUGGUUGAUAUUUUAGUGUUUUUGGUGUUUUUCUGUCUAAUGAUUUAAUUUGAGAAUCGACUAUUCGGGUAAAAUUCAA
Molecule: long non-coding RNA, 792 nt
Organism: Salvia splendens (bonfire salvia)
Lineage: Eukaryota; Viridiplantae; Streptophyta; Magnoliopsida; Lamiales; Lamiaceae
Exons: 2
Source: RefSeq, a predicted model, not a curated record